This 574-nucleotide long non-coding RNA is filed under the name Mytilus galloprovincialis (Mediterranean mussel). Lineage: Eukaryota; Metazoa; Mollusca; Bivalvia; Mytilida; Mytilidae. The record is from RNAcentral.
UGCCAAUGAGACAACUGUCCACAAGAGACCAAAAUGACACACACAUUAACAACUAUAGGUCACCGUACGGCCUUCAAUUUUGCUGAAAGCCCGCCGUGCAAUAUUUGAAUUGAAUAAAAGGCAUGACCGGAGUUUAUUGAUUACAUAUAAUUUACAAAGUAAACGAUUAAUUCAUUUGUACUAGAACUAUGUGUAUGUUCGCUCUAAAUGAGCAUGAAAUACUUGCAACUGGACAACAAGCGAUUUCAGUCUAAAGUUAAUUCAUAUGUUACAGAUUAAAUUUUCAGUUAUGGUAAUCAGUAACAACAAGCAUUGAAUAAACUAAUGCUUAUUAAUGACCACUUCAUCAACUAUGUCUCCGAUCACAGAAAUGCCGUGAACGUUAUUGAUGUCAUUUGGGACAUACAUGUAUUAGCGCGAAAAGACGCGAGACGUUAUGGCGUUUAAAAGUGGACACGUUUGGGCGAAUAAUAAUUAUCGGUCACGUUUGGGGGUUAUGAAAUCGGACACGUUUUGGCAAUAUUGAAUAUUUAGGACACGUUUAGGGAGAAUAGACACGUUUGGGGAAUCGGAC